This 156-nucleotide ribosomal RNA is filed under the name Arctia caja (garden tiger moth). RNAcentral describes it as "partial large subunit ribosomal RNA". Lineage: Eukaryota; Metazoa; Arthropoda; Insecta; Lepidoptera; Erebidae. The record is from RNAcentral.
UUUUAUUUAUGAUAUAAUUAUAAUUAUUUAUAAAUUUAAAAUUUUUAAUUUAAUUAUAAAUUUUAUUGGGGUGAUAGAAAAAUAAAUUUAACUUUUUUUAAUUAAUGAACAUGAAUAAGUGAUUAAAUGAUCCAAUUUUAUUGAUUAUAAGAAAAA